GACGAACGCUGGCGGCGUGCUUAACACAUGCAAGUCGAACGGAAAGGCCCUGCUUCUGUGGGGUGCUCGAGUGGCGAACGGGUGAGUCACACGCGAGUAACCUGCCCUUGACUUUGGGAUCACUUCAGGAAACUGGGGCUCAUCCCGGAUAGGAGCUCCUGCUGCAUGGUGGGGGUUGGAAAGUUUCGGCUGUGGGGGAUGGACUCGCGGCUUAUCAGCUUGUUGGUGGGGUAGUGGCUUACCAAGGCUUUGACGGGUAGCCGGCCUGAGAGGGUGACCGGCCACAUUGGGACUGAGAUACGGCCCAGACUCCUACGGGAGGCAGCAGUGGGGAAUAUUGCACGAUGGGCGGAAGCCUGAUGCAGCAACGCCGCGCGCGGGAUGACGACCUUCGGGUUGUAAGCCGGUUUCGCCUCUAACGAAGCGUGAGUGACGGUAAUGGGUAAAUAAGCACCGGCUAACUACGUG
This 468-nucleotide ribosomal RNA is filed under the name uncultured bacterium. Its description in RNAcentral is "partial 16S ribosomal RNA". It matches the Rfam family "Bacterial small subunit ribosomal RNA", at positions 28 to 507 of the family's 1533-position model. The record is from RNAcentral.